Molecule: long non-coding RNA, 6583 nt
Filed under: Sus scrofa (pig)
Lineage: Eukaryota; Metazoa; Chordata; Mammalia; Artiodactyla; Suidae
Description: lncRNA (ENSSSCG00000059391.1)
Source: RNAcentral
CAGAUCCAAGCCACAUCUGCAAACUACACCACAGUUCACAGCAACGCUGGAUCUGUAAUUCACUUAAGGAGGCCAGGGAUUGAACCCGCAACCUUAUGGUUCCUAGUUGGAUUAGUUUCUGCUGCGCCAUGACGGGGAACUCCUCUUUUGGCCAGAACUUAAUUACAUGGUCAUAUGGUUGAGAAAAAUAGUCUCUGUUCUGAAUGGCCAGAUUCCUCUUUUAAAUGGAGGUGCCUAUUUCUAAGGAAGACUAAGGAUGACUACUUCUAUUCUUUAUUUUUUUUAAUGUUCUUUUUUUUAAAAUUGAUGUAUAGUUGAUGUACAAAUAGUGAUUUGCAAUUUUACAAGGUUACUCUCAUUUAUAGUUAUGAAAUAUUGGCUAUACUCCCUGUGUUGUACAAUAUAUCUUUGUAGCUUAUUUUAUACAGUAUAGUUUUUAACUCUUAAUCCCCCAGCCCUACAAUGCUGUUCUCCUCCUCUCUCCCCACUGGUAACCACUAGUUUGUUCUUUCUUCUUUGCUAUAUUCCCUAAUUUGUUUUACUUUUCAGAUUCCACAUAUAAAUGGUAUCACUCACCAUUUGUCUUUUUCUGUAUGACUGAUUUCACUUAGCAUAAUACCUUCCAAGUCCAUCCAUAUUGCUGCAAAUGGAAAAUUUUCAUUCUUUUUUAUGUCUGAGUAGUAUUCCUUCACAUAUCUAUGUAUCUAUAUACCCGUAUCUAUCUAUCUAUAUAUCUAUAACAUCUUCCUUAUCCAUUCAUAUAUUGAUGGACACUUAAUAUAUUGAUGGAUACUUAUGUUUCUUCCAUAUCUUGGACAUAAUAAUGCUGUUAUGAACAUAGUGUACAUGUAUCUUUUUGAAUCAGUGUUUUUAUUUUUGUUUUGGAAAUAUGUCCAGAAUUAGAACUGCUAAAUCAUAUGGUUCUUCCAUUUUUAGUUUUUGGAGAAACCUCCAUAUUGUUUUACACAGUGGCUGCACUAAUUUACACUCCCUCUGACAGUGUAUGAAGUUCCCUUUUCUCCAUAACCUUGCCAACAUUUGUUAUUUGUGUUCUUUUUGAUGAUAGCCAUUCUGACAGAUGUGAGAUUAUAUCUCACUGAGGUUUUAAUUUGCAUUUCUGUGAUGAAUCAGUGUUGACCAUAUUUACAUGUGCCUUUUGGCCAUCUGCAUUUCUUCUUUGGAAAAAUGUCUAUUAAGUUCUGCUUGUUUCUUAAUCGGGUUGUUUAUUUUUUGAUAUUGAGCUGUAUGAGCUAUUUGUAUAUGUUAGAUACUUACCCCUUAUCAGUCAUAUCAUUUACAAGUAUUUUCUCCCAUUUAUUAGGUUGUCUUUUUGUUUUGUUAAUGGUUUUGUUUACUAUGAAAAAGCUUUUAAGUUUAUUAGGGACUGAUAUUUGUUAAUAAUUGCCUCUGCAUAUAUUCUAAAAUUAUUUGCAUAAAUGUGCUUUCAACUAAAUUGGUAAGGAAUUAUUGAGUGUCUACAACUAUGCAGGAAACUCUGUUAAGUGUUGUGAGAUGUAAAGAUAAAUAAACUAGUUUUGACAUUGAGGAGCAUGUAACUGUUUAAAAAUUCUAUAAAAUAUAAUGAUUUUUUCAUUAUACGUGAUCGGAAAAUCCUAAUACAAUGUUUGAUUAAUAAACGAAGCCCCAACAAAACGUUGAGAUACUACUAGGUGGGGAAAGAUCACACCUGUUAGAGAGAUUGAGCAAAAUGCUUGAGAGAAAAAUUCCACUCCCACCAAAAAUGCUUAGUGAGAAUGUAUGUGUGUGCUGAUUUUCUUUCAAGCAUUUUAUGUCUUGGGUAUCCUCAUACCAUUACAAAAGUAAAUUUAAAAUAAAAAUAAAAACUAUUCCUAGCAUUCUUACUCUUUCCAUCUCUUUGCCUUGUUCAAACCUGGCUCAUCUUCUACCCAAGAGCCCUCUCAAUAUCCUCUCACUUCCUAGGGAGCCCAGAUAUUGUACCAAGUCUUCCAGCUCCCACUUCUUUUUGUUAGCACUUCCAGCUCAAUAAUUUUUCUCUCUCAUGCAAAACCUUUCCUCUUUGAGAGACUAAUCCCCUAAGCAAUACCUCUCUCUCUCACUCACUACUCUUCCUUAUUAUUGCCAUCUACAGCAAUCUCAUGCUUCCUAAUCUCCAAGGACUUUGAUAUCUGCCUUACACUCUUUCUCCCCUUUCUUCUGUAGGUUGCAUUAGGCAACUUCAACAUUCAUGCACUUGACCCAGCUGAAAUUUUAACCUCAAAGCUUCUUGAUCUGAGAUUCCAGUUAUUUUUAUCCUUACUGGAUUUUAGUCAUUCUCAUUAUAGAAACAUCUUCAACCUUGUUGUUAUUAUGAAACAAGCUCUAAUGUUUUAUACUUUUUUUUUCUUUUUUUAGGGCUGGCACCUGUGGUAUAUGGACGUUCCCAGGCUAGGGGUUGAAUCAGAGCUACAGCUGCCAACCUACACCACAGCUAUAGCAACGCAGGAUCUCAGCCAUGUCUGCAACCUACACCACACAACUCAUGGCAAUGCCGGAUCCUUAACUCACUGAGCAAGGCCAGGGAUCGAACCUACAGUCUCAUGGUUCCUAGUUGGAUUCAUUUCUGCUGCGCCAUGAUGGGAACUCCUAAUGUUUUCUACUUUAGUGCCUAAUAUUUAUUACCUGUUUUAUAGAUUUUCAACAUUAACAAUGCCUUAAAUUUCUUCUCUCUUCUCUCUUCCUUCAUUUGUUAUUAUUAUUCACUUCCAUUUCAAACUUAGUACCUAUGGGGUAUGGGUAUCAUUUCAAUCAUAAAUAAUAAUUUCAAUCUUCCAUUCCCAAACAAUGUCAGCUGGGCACUCAGGGCGAUUAUAAGGUCAAAAGACAUACAGGAAGGCAGACAAAUAGAUUCUUCUCUUAUUGUCCACAAUGAGUAUGAAACAAACAUAUCACCAACUGACACUAAAUUUCUCUUCCCUCUCAUAGUUAAGAUAAUCUUAUUUUAACUUUAAAAUUUAUUUUAUUUUUAAAAUUUAUUUUUCUCCUUUAAAAUUUGAGAUGCUUAUGUCUGAAUUUACUUAUUUUCAAAUACUAACAAAUGUAUGUCACUUCCCUCAUUCCUACAUUCUUGUCUUCCUUCUCUCAGAAAGUUGUCUCCCUACUUCAUUUUAAGCCCAGGUCCUCCCUGCCUCCAUCCUCUUUAUGCCAUUCUUUCCACCUCUUCAAGGUCCUUGAGCUGUUAUUCGUCUCUUUAUUCUCCUGUAUCUUCAUGUUUUAAGAUGUACCUCCCUCAUGCUUACAUUCCCUUCCAAUGUCUGCUCUCUCAGUUCCCUUCUACUCACAACCAAGAUACUCAAUACAGCAUAGCUUACAUUCACUGCUUCAGCUUUGUUCAGUCCUCUGGAACUAAGCUGCAAUCCCACUCCUCUUUACUUUAUUUUCCUAUUAUUUUAUUUUAUUUUAAUUACUCAAUGAAUUUUAUUAUAUUUAUAGAUGUACAACAAUCAUCACAACCAAAUUUGAUAGCAUUUCCAUACCAAACUCUCAGUGUAUCCGCCCAACCCCCAACCUGUCUCAUUUGGAAACCAUGUUUUUCAAAGUCUGAGUCAGUAUCCGUUCUGCAAAGAAUUUCAUUGUGUCAUUUUUUUAGAUUCCACAUGUAAGUGAUAGCAUUUGGUGUUGGGGUGUCUCAUUGUCUGACUGACUUCACUUAGCAUGAUAAUUUCUAGGUCCAUCCAUGUUGCUGCAAAUGCUGUUAUUUCUUUCCUUUUAAUGGCUUUUAAUCGCACUGUAUAUAUGUACCACAUCUUCUUGAUCUACUCCUCUGUUGAUGGACAUUUAGGUUGUUUCUAUGUCUUGACUAUUGAAAACAGUGCUGCAAUGAACAUUGGAGUACAUGUAUAUUUUUGAGUCAUGGUUUCCUCUGGAUAGGUGGCCGGGAGUGGGACUGCUGGAUCAAAUGGUAAUUUUAUUUUUAGUUUUCUGCGGAAUCUCCCUACUGUUUUCCAAAGUGGUUGCACCAAUUUAUAUGCCCACCAACAGUGUAAUAGGGUUCCUUUUUCUCCACACCCUCUCCAGCACUUAUUGUUUACAGACUUUUUGAUGAUGUCCAUUCUGGCCAGUGUAAAGUGGUACCUCAUAGUGGUUUUGAUUUGCAUUUCUCUAAUAAUGAGUGAUGUUGAACAUCUUUUCAUGUGUAUUUUGGUCAUCUGUAUGUCUUCUUUGGAGAAUUGUCUGUUUAGAUCUUCCGCAGGGUUGUUUUUUUUUGUUUUGUUUUGUUUUUUUGUAUUGAGCUGCAGAAGCUGUUUAUAAAUUUUGGAGAUUAAUCCCUUGUCGGUCGAUUCAUUUGCAAAUAUUUUCUCCCAUUCCGUGGGUUGUCUUUUCAUUUUAUUUAGGGUUUCCUUUGCCAUGCAGAAACUUUUAAGUUCAAUUAAGUCCCAUUUGUUUAUUUUUGUUUUUAUUGUCAAUAAUCUAAUAGGUGGAUCUGAGAAGGUGUUGCUGUCGUUUAGGUCAGAGUGUUUGGCCUAUGUUUUCCUCUAGGAGUUUUAUAGUAUCUGGUAUUAUAUAUAUGUCUUUAAUGCAUUUUGUGUUUAUUUUCAUAUAUGGUGCUAGGAAAUGUUCUAAUUUCAUUCUUUUACAUGUGGCUGUCCAGUUUUCUUUGCACUACUUAUUGAAGGGUCUAUCUUUUCUCCAUUGUAUAUUCUUGCCUCCUUUGUCAUAGAUUAGUUUACUGUAGGUGCCACUUUCCUUUACUUUUCUAUGGUCAUUGUCCUUAUUUUCCAAGCUAAUUUCAGUGGACACAGUUUUGUUCUCAUUAGCCUUCUCUGCAGCGUUGUGUGUAAUUCACUACGCUUGGCUGUAAGAAACUUCCUUCACUGUAUUUUCCUUACACACCUAUUUUAAGGAUUCCUUUCAGCUCUCUGACAGUUCCUUCUUAGUCUCUGAAGAAAGCACCUUAGAUGGGUUCACUUUCCAUAUUUUGGGUGUUUUUUGCUCCCUUAUUUUCAAUCUACAAAAUCUCCCUUGGUAUCUCAUUACUCCUGUCUCUUCAGUUGUUAUCAGUAUGCUCAUAGGUCUCAAAUUUCUAUUUCCAGACUUGAUGACAGGAAAGAAAAUAAAGGAGAAUAUCAUGUUGGUUCUUUUUAGCCAAGUAGUUUAUAAACUUCCAUUGCAGGAACUAUACACAGUGUUUGAUACAAUGUUUUGCAUGCUGAGGCCAAUCAGACAAUAAUUAAACUGGGAGAAAACUAUAUUUUAAAUCUUUUGUGCUCGGGCAGGGGUGUAGAGAAGCACCGAUAAUAUGUUCAGGAAAGUACUAUUUUUAAAAUCGAGACAGCACAUUUAGAAUCCAUUUCUCUUCUAGAACUAUAAAAUAAUUAUGAAAGUAUAGUCUUCAGUGACCUCUAAACCAUGAUAUACUUUUAUUUUAAGCAUAAAAGUCCAAUGGAAACACUACAAAUGAAUGAACUCAUGUUAAAAUAUUUUGUUUUGGACUGUGCCUUACUACUGCAAGAUAUUAACUGAAAUCUGUACUUAUGUUUCAUCACCUCAUAAUGGAACUUAUUCCAUUUACUAGCAUAAUCUGCUUGAACUCCAUUCUGCCUAAUGAUCUAUUUCUCAGUAAGUAAUAACAUACCUAUGAUUCCUCAACAUUUAUAGUACUAGGCUAUGCUGAAUAUGGGCUUUCUUUAAUGACAUUAUUGAUCUUCUCUCCCCAUCUAUCCCCUUUUCUUCACCCUGUCUUUCACCUUAUUCCUAUCAUUCAUCCGUCACACACACACACACACACACACACACACACACACACGAUACAGAAUCACAUACACAUAACUACAAAUACUUAGCAUCCAGACAGACAGAAUUUCCUAAGUUUACAAUUCUUGGUUUGUUAGUUUGCUAAAAAAACUUUACCUUAAAAAACUUUUUGAAACAUAUGGAGCAUUUUUCAUGUAUGGAACAAAAUAACCUGUAGUGGGCAUUAUUAUCAUUUUCCCACCCUCCUUCUGAGAAAUGUUCCUGCUGACAAUAUGAUUCAAAAGUGUGUGGUCCCAUUUUCAGACCCUUCAGCUAUGGCCAUGGUUGGUUGAUCCAGGUAUGGAUGCCUGUCCGAAGUUAGACUAAUCAGAUCCUUUCCUAGGUAGUUUUAAACUUGGGAACACUUAAGAUGAGUUUAGUCUUUGUCCAUAUAUGAGUAUAUGAAUAUAUGAAUCUGGAUUUGUUGGCAGCUGUUCCAACUGUGUGAGAAAAAUUGCAACCCACAAAGGGAAGCAGAAAUUAAAGGCUGCAGAGACAAUCCUCCUGGAUUCUAGUCCCUGGUUCUGAUUGACCUUGAGGUUAGUUUUAGCCAGCAAUUCCUGCAGUUUGGUUGCAAGAAGCAAUAUAUUUUCCUAUUUCUCUGAUUUAGUUUGAGUUGAUUUUCUGUCAGUUGCAACCAGAGCCCUGACUAUAAGUAUAUUCCAUAAACCUAAAGUUGGAUUUGUUCAUUUGUUUUUAUGUACUUUUUAUGUUUCUCAUAAAGGGAAAUAAGUAUUCUAUUUAAUCAGCUAAGAGUAUUAAAGUUGGGGCAUACAAAUUGAUUAUUUUUAUUCUGUUUCAGAGGAAGGAGGGAAUUGUUCUCCUAGGAAAC